CGGACGGGUGAGUAACACGUGGAUAACCUACCUAUAAGACUGGGAUAACUUCGGGAAACCGGAGCUAAUACCGGAUAAUAUAUUGAACCGCAUGGUUCAAUAGUGAAAGACGGUUUUGCUGUCACUUAUAGAUGGAUCCGCGCCGCAUUAGCUAGUUGUAAGGUAACGGCUUACCAAGGCAACGAUGCGUAGCCGACCUGAGAGGGUGAUCGGCCACACUGGAACUGAGACACGGUCCAG
RNAcentral lists this ribosomal RNA (240 nucleotides) under uncultured Staphylococcus sp. RNAcentral describes it as "partial 16S ribosomal RNA". It matches the Rfam family "Bacterial small subunit ribosomal RNA", at positions 99 to 334 of the family's 1533-position model. Lineage: Bacteria; Bacillati; Bacillota; Bacilli; Caryophanales; Staphylococcaceae. The record is from RNAcentral.